This 1152-nucleotide long non-coding RNA is filed under the name Pan troglodytes (chimpanzee). RNAcentral's name for it is "long non-coding RNA NONPTRT003657". Lineage: Eukaryota; Metazoa; Chordata; Mammalia; Primates; Hominidae. The record is from RNAcentral.
UCAUCUUUUCAGGAAGGCGAGAACAACGACAAGUUCUUCACCCACCCCAAGGAUGCCAAGGCGCUGGCGGCCUACCUCUUUGCACACAAUCACCUCUUCUACCUGAUGGAGCUGGCCACGGCCCUGCUGCUGCUGCUGCUCUCCCUGUGCGAGGCCCCCGCCGUCCCCGCACUCCGGCUUGGCAUCUAUGUGAGCGCACAUGCUCCUCAUACGGGAGGCUGGGAGCCACGGCUUUCAGGGCAAGCGACAGAACUCCAAAAAGGAACAUUCUGGGAGGGCAAACACUGCAAACGGACUUAAAACAGAGAGAUACGAGGCGAUCAUAGAGGCCUUCGGAGCGGAAAUGCCUGGGUGUCCCUGCUGGAGUGAAUGGCCUUCACCCAGUCUCUCUGGGAUUCUGCCCACCAGUAAAUUCCAGGGAGGGGAAGUGUCCCAGGCCCUGCUCAGGACCAGUGCCCACACCUUGGCUCCGGGUGGGGAGGGCACCCAGUGGACAGUCCCACUACUCUGUCUCCAGCCUCAAAGGAGAAGGCAGUUCGGUCCACGCCACCCUGGAGCUGUUCGCCCUGAUGGUGGUAGUGUUUGAACUCUGCAUGAAGUUACGCUGGCUGGGCCUCCACACCUUCAUCCGGCACAAGCGGACCAUGGUCAAGGUGAUGUGUCCGCCCAUCUGUCCCUCCCCUUGCAGCCUUUUCUCCCAUGUCACCUUCAAACCUGUCUCUUUGGUACAAUUCAGAAUCCACCAUGGCCCAGUCCAUGCUCAGAGGUGUAACCCUAGGGUCCGUGUCCUGACCGUGCCCUCAGCCUUGUGGGUGCCCUGGAUGUCGUGGUGAUGCCAGCAGUAGCUAAUGUGAUGGGGUGUUUGGUACCUGCCAGGCACUGGCGCAGUCACCUUCGAGAGAGAUGUGCUGCUCUCCAUGUUUUACAUUCAUCUGGAGACAUGGGGCUCACACCCAGCUCUGCCCACUGCGCCCGGCUCACCUGUCCCUAGUGUUGCGCAUAUUCUCUCUGUGCCACAGAGAGUGGCGUGAGUAGGAGCACGUCAAGGUGGCAUUUUGUAGUGUGUGGAGCAUGUGCGCUACUCUAGGAGAGUGUAGCCAAGUAAGCAGAGCUGAAGAGGAGCUGCAGGCCCCGGGAUCCCUGAUGUGAGUG